CACGAAACCCCCGGGCCCACCUCGUCCUUCCACCCACCCGCUGCCAGGAAAAAACCUGGAUGAGCAACCAGGAGCAGACACUCAACCGAGUGAAGUCCACCUGGAUGGAGCUGUGAACUCUGCAGGUUAGUGCAGGUCUGAGGCACAAGAAGUGACUCUUUUUUCACAGAAAGCAGGAUAGAUUUUGUUCAGCCUGACGGAGAUUCCCAGCACUCUGCUAACUGCUCCAGUCUCCCCUGCCACUCCUUCCCUCCUGAGCUUGGUUAUCUACUUAUAAAGCAAAUUGCCUGUGCCAGCAGAAGGUGUGAAUUAGCCUUGUCUGAAGGGAGGGAACUACGGGGUGGGAUGACCAGUUUAGAAUCAGUUUCUGAUGUUUUCUCUGCAAAUCCACAAAUGAAAUUAGCUUGAACAAACUGGAGGAAAACACAUGGUCCAGGCACCCUGGCCCUUGAGUAAUAAUGAGCAACAGCAGGCUAUGCUUCAAGGGGAAAAAACCCAAAACAGUGGUAAGUGGGUACAAAAACACCCUUCAGGAGAUCCCUGAAGUCAUUCAGCUCACAGUAUGUGUGGUGCAGAGGAUAUUUGCAAGGGACAACACAACAAGGAUCCUGGAGGGUUCCUGGGUGUGAUGGCACUUUUGGAGCAGGGUGUGAGUUUGCAGGGAGGCUGCUCCCAAUGUGCCCAGCCUGUGCCAGUGCUAGAAGUGCUACACAGCCCAUGGGGUGUCAGGGAAACCCCGUGCGGAAAGAGGUGAGGAAAGACUCCUUACAAUAUCCAUUUGCUUUGAGCUCUGACUUUGCCUCUUCUUUCCUUCAAAGACUGUUCACUUUAUUCUGGCACUUAAAAAUGAAUCGAGCAGGUUAAAGGUCAGCUUUAUUAUUUUUCUUGGGUUAAAGAAGUUUAAGCCAUAACCCAGGGAGCCUACCUAUGCCAUUUGGGAAAGAAAAAUCAGCACAUUAAAGCCAGUUAUUUUAGGUGUCCACUACAGCAGGGAAGAUAUUAUGGGCUACAAAAUCAAAUAUAAUAGUGACCCUGGAUGUACUGGAAUAGCCUCUUCAGUUUUUGUCUCCAUUCUAAGCUUGCUGAUUUAAUUUCUUCAGAAUCCAUAAUUAUAUAAAAGAAAAUCAGGGUUAUCAUUAUUAUCUUGCCAAAAUGUUCAUUCCUUAUGCAAUAACUCCUAUAAUGAUUCUACCAGAAACGGGGAAAUACUCUUCUGGGUAUAGGAUAGGCUUAUGAGGGGCUAUCUGUAGAAAAAGAAAAAUAACAUCUCUAGGAGUUUUGCCAGUAACUUGAACAACAGUAGAGCUAGGCUUAUGCUGACUGUUUUAGAAAAUUCCAUGUUUGAUUUGUUAAUGACCAUUUGUAUGACAGAGAACUGCAAGCCAUUUAUCUUCAGAAAUAAAUACUCAAAAUAGAAGAAGAAAACAGGACAUAGCCAGGCAAGCUGUGGUUUGUACCAAAGCUUCAUAUUUGCAGAAAGACAGAUAUAUAAUAUUGCUCAGUUUUUUCAGGAAAACCACUACUGAAGCAUUUUUGCCAACCUUUUUGAGUUCAUGUCAAAAAAUAGUACUGAAAAGUGACCUUUGGGGAUUUUCCUGGGUAGCAUUUCACUGUCAGAUAGAAAGCCAUGGCCCUGAGUCAGCAAGGAACAGGCAGACCUACCUUUAAACAUGUGAAAGUUAUUUAUAGGAGUAAUUUAGUGAAUCAGGGUUCAUAUGAGAGAAAUAACUGGGAAAAUUUCAUAGAAAAGACUAAAAUAAAGGAAAUCCUGACACUGUUACAUUUGAAAUGUAACAUGGACCCUCUCCCUACCCUCCUUUUAAAAUUAAUGCAUUAGUUACAGCAAAACUCUUCCUAAUAAAAGUGCUGGAAGAUGGAUUUAACAUGGUUGCUUACCAACAUGGUGGUACAUUCACAUAAUGGUGGAGUAUGAAAUGCAAGCAAAGCCUCCAGAUAUCAAUAGAGAACAGAUUAAUGGAGACCUUUCCUCUGCAACAGCUAGCUGAACUCAUAGUUUCCUAAAUGCUGACAGGCACCACUCAAAGAAGCAGCCUCCAAGACCUGCAAGGCAGAAGAGUGCCUACAUUAGCUGUGUCCUCAUAGGAACCACUCAUUCUCUAAAAAUCAAACCUCCCCAGGGUGCCUCAAGUGGGACACUGAGGAAUCGUGAUAGCUAAAGCUUUUCUAAAACCUCUAGCCUGAAGCUACAAUGAAUUAGUCCAACACAAAAAGAGAUAUUUCUAACAAAACCUUGUCCAUUCUGAUGAAAGACAGUAUUUGUAAUCACUGGUAAGAAGACCACAUUCGUUUAUUUUUUCUAGUUCUUCCUCACCCCUCAAAACAAGCUGAAAUGACCUUUCAACAACAGUUUGUUUCUUCUUGGCUUGAUCUGAACAAAGGCUUUCUAUUCUAUUCACAUGCAUGUGAAGGAGAGUAUGGAUGCUUUAGUGGUGAAACACCAAAUCUCUCCUUUGAGCUUUGCAGGCUUUCUACUGUCCUCUCAAAAACCAGUCAACCAAGUGUUUGUGUGUGCUGAGGACUGUAUAUACCAGGGCAGGGGGCUAAAUUAAUUUACAGCCUUCUGAUGCUUCCAACACACUUUCAUUCAGUGGGCACUUAGUCAGUAUAGCCUCACAGUAUUUCUGGGAAUUUGGCACUAGACAUGGGACAUUCAUGCAGGCAGUGUGGACAAGCUUUGACUGGUCAAAACUGAUGCCGCUUUUGUUCCAUUCCUCAAACUAACUUGAGCUUAGUUUAUAUAACUGGAGGACCUUGCUUCAGCUUUCGACCGAGGUUUAAAGGGAGAAGGCAGCUAAACUAAUGCAGGAAUUCCUGUCUCAGUAGUACCAACUUUGGCAGAAGAAAAGCCAGAUAACUUUGUGGUGGAACAGCACAGCUUUAAUGAAGGUUUAAUGAGUGUGUUGACAAAAAAGGGCUUUUCUGCUGUUUGAAGCAAUCAGGUUUGCUCUCAACAAGUGUAUUUUCUGAAAUAUUUUUAGAGAUGCCCUCUGUGGCUGGGGUGCUUUUGCAGGUGUUUGGGAGCGUGUUGAUGUCAGAGGGGAAAAUAUGCAAAUCUUCCUUUGUUUGCAUGGCAGAACUUCAACAAAAGCUGUCCCUGACAGCCCCCUUAAAGCGCAUUGAGGGCUCAGAUCUCUCUCUCGCGCUAAAGUUGCCUUUGUCCCAGGGCCCGCCCUCAGCACGUCAGCCAGCAGGGUCCCAUUCUCAGUGCAACUCUGAUCCCACUGCAAAUGGUGCCAAGGGACAAAUCUGCAUCUCUUGUGAGCAAACCUAACUAUUUGUACUUGCCCAGGGAAAAGAAAUAAGAGAGGAUCCAGUAAAUCUGCCCCCAUUUCAGCUGGGAACAGUAGGAGGAAAUUAAUUUAUUCACUCAUAUCCAGUGCAAGAGAAGAUUGUCCCUCUAUUUUCUCACCAAGAUAAAUGUUGCCCUUACUCUGCCAUGUUUUCUGUGAUGAUCAAUAGUUUCAUUUGUUCCAGAGUUACCUGCCUAAGUCAUUGCUAGAUCAGGAUAAUAAUUGGGAACUUUUCAGAAAACAACAUUCUGGCUGUAGUAAAAAAGCAACUGCAGUUACUUCUUCAUAGGCUAGGUGAUGUUGUUCACGUGCAACUCAUCUGGGCUUUUUGUGACUUCUCUAUUAAUGUCAAAAGAGGACAAUUUCCAUGCCCACCCAGACUAGUCUGGUGGGAUACCCUGGGAUAAGACCACACCAGAAACUUGACCAAAGUGUCAUUCCCCUUUGAAAAGGACAGAUUUAUUGAACUGUAACACUCAGGUUCUGGGCUGUUGAAAGCUUUGCAAGUGUCUUGUUUUUCCAAGGGGCUGGAGCUUCCUGUCUUCUAUGCAGUACUCACAGUCAUACACUCCUGAGAAAUUAAAAACAUUUUGGUUUCCUAAAAAAUCACUGUUGAUGAUAAAAUUCCUAUUCAGCUGAAGAAUUGUAAAUUUCCCCAAAAGUUUACAAUGCCCUGGUGUGUCAGUAUUUUGGAAGACCCCAAACAGUUAAGGAAAAGCUCAAGAUUUCAGAGUAUCUCUGUUUUGAAAUGUCCAGCCUGAGGUCCAGUAAACCUUAUCCUUUUAAGCACAUGGGACCACAUCUCAGGCUGAAGUCACAAAGAGCAGAUGGUGGCCAUCAGUUUCAAAAGUUCAGAUGUAGGCAGCUGAAAUUGGCUUCUCAGAAACAAGUAUUUCUAACACUACUUCUGAAAAUACAGAAUUCCUCAUAUGGAGAGAUCAAAACGUAAGCACAUGGGGCUGAAAGCCAUUCCCACUCAAUCCAGUCACAGUUUCACAAUGAUUGGAAUUUGGUUUUUAAGGCUGGAUGCUUGUCCAGGUUGGGUCACCAUCAGUUUGCACCAUCUGGGGAUGUAAUACUUGUCUGUUACCCAUUGCCUCUUUCCACCCUGACACAAUUUUGUCCUGGGAAUGCAAGGGUCUUAACUACCUUGGGGUUUCUAAGGCCUGGAGCUAACUGAACAUUCCUUGUGGCACUGAGUUGUAUGGGAAUUUAGCAAAGAUCUCUUCUCAGGCAGCAGAUCCCUUGUCUCAAGAAAUCUUUUGAUUAAAUCGUCAAGCUGUGGGACGUGCAGCAAAAGAGAAAACAGAGUUUGAGGGAACAUUUAAAGAAAUAUUUUUGACAAUUCCCAGUGCAGCUGGGAUGAUGACACACACUCUGGUCCUAGCAUUCUUGCCUGGCAAGCGAGGACUAGGGCUUUAUAUGUAAAUAAAAAUAUAUUAUUUACAUAUUUUCUAACAUCUGUUAUGAAUUUGUUUUCCCUUUGGUUCUAUUUAAAGUAUGUCUUGUCCUGUUAUCUCUGAGGCUGAAAUUUUGAAGGAUUUCUUAAUAAACUAUGUUUACUGCAGAGCUACAAGAAAUAUUCUCCCUCCUCCACAGCUUUUUUGAGUCCUUCUAGUUAUUUCUUCCUCAUAUUUUAAAUGCAUUAGCAUCUCCCCAGCCUAUGAAAGGAGCACAGUUUUCUUAGUGGAUUCCUGCUGGGAAGGGUAUAAUCUCACCACUAACUUCCAGGGAUUUAUAUUGGGUCAGUCUAACCCAUUUGUCCUGGCAGCCCAGCUUUAUAAUUGUCCUGCAGCUUGGUGCCUAUUUCAGAGAGCUCCCUACUCUUAGCUCAGGGUUCCAUCCACAGUUUCUGCAUCCUGGAAGAAAAGCUGCCUGCUGCAAAGGACCAGUGCUGGAGCCACCACUGCAGAGAUGGAUCUCAGUGACCUCCCAGGCCAAAUGAUGCCACAGCCAGGUUCAGAGCUGCAGAAGGACCUUGGGAGUAAAGUUCAUUCAACACACUGUCCUGACAGGAGAUUUAUGCAGUCUAUGGAGCAAAGCUAAACAGGACAGCAAGCAGGAUUUGGACCACAUGAGAGAGAGACAUGCUUUAUUUGUGUUAAGUAAAUAGGACAAAGUGAAAAGGGAAAAGGCAAAAAAGAAAAUGUCACGGCGGGUCGAUGCCAACAUUCCCACAUGGUCUCUGAAAGUAAAGGCUUCCGUGCAGGGUGCUCAUUGUGUGUCACAUUGGGCAUUGAUUUUCAGAGGUGCUCUGUGUCAAAAAAACCUGAGUUCACACUAGCAGUCAAGAUGCUUUGCUGAAUGAAGAAGUUGGGUGAUGUCCUGACCCAGCAGUGCACCUAUAGCCAGCACCCACAGCUGAUUUCCUUAUUUUGACAGCAGUCACCUAUCUAACUCCUUUGUGGCCCUGGGCCUGGUGCAAUAGUCAGUGUGAAUUUGAGCUGGGAUGAGGAGACUUCUGGAGAUUUGUAGAAUUGUCUUGUAAAAUGCUUUUCCAAUGAACAAUUAAGCAUAAGUGCAAAUAAACAUAAUUUCCUUUAAAAUUCA
Long non-coding RNA from Passer domesticus (house sparrow), 5861 nucleotides. RefSeq lists it as uncharacterized. NCBI's taxonomy places the organism in Eukaryota, Metazoa, Chordata, Aves, Passeriformes, Passeridae. The record is from RefSeq and is a predicted model, not a curated record. The transcript has 2 exons.